This 391-nucleotide ribosomal RNA is filed under the name uncultured soil bacterium. RNAcentral describes it as "bacterial SSU rRNA". It matches the Rfam family "Bacterial small subunit ribosomal RNA", at positions 26 to 404 of the family's 1533-position model. The record is from RNAcentral.
AGAUUGGACGCUGGCGGCAGGCCUAACACAUGCAAGUCGAGCGGUAGAGAGGUGCUUGCAUCUCUUGAGAGCGGCGGACGGGUGAGUAAUGCCUAGGAAUCUGCCUAGUGGUGGGGGAUAACGUUCGGAAACGGACGCUAAUACCGCAUACGUCCUACGGGAGAAAGCGGGGACCUUCGGGCCUCGCGCCAUUAGAUGAGCCUAGGUCGGAUUAGCUAGUGGUGAGUAAUGGCUCACCAAGGCGACGACUCCGUAACUGGUCUGAGAGGAUGAUCAGUCACACUGGAACUGAGACACGGUCCAGACCUCCGUACGGGAGCAGCAGGUAGGGAAUAGUUGGAACUAAGUGGGACGAAAGCCUAGACUCCGACGUACCAAGUGCCCGGCGUGU